CCCUUAGAUGUUCUGGGCCGCACGCGUGCUACACUGAGUGGAUCAGCGGGUCAGGUUGCGCGAAAGCGUUUCCUAAUCUUGAAAUCCGCUCGUGAUGGGGAUUGACGGUUGCAAUUUUCUGUCAUGAACGAGGAAUACCUUGUAAGCGCGGGUCAUCAUCCCGCGCUGAAUACGUCCCUGCCCUUUGUACACACCGCCCGUCGCUCCUACCAAUUGAGUGGUCCGGUGAGGCUUUGGGAUCUGAGCGGAAAGAGCGUUUCGCUCGUUCUGCCCGGAAAACUCAGUCGAACCUUAUCAUUUAGAGGAAGGAGAAGUCGUAACA
This 322-nucleotide ribosomal RNA is filed under the name uncultured eukaryote. Its description in RNAcentral is "partial 18S ribosomal RNA". It matches the Rfam family "Eukaryotic small subunit ribosomal RNA", at positions 1470 to 1796 of the family's 1831-position model. The record is from RNAcentral.